GCUUAAAUAAUUUAAACUAAAAUAUUAGUCUUGUAAACUAAAAUUAAGAUUCUUAUAUCUUUUUAAGCU
This 69-nucleotide transfer RNA is filed under the name Pityogenes bidentatus. Its description in RNAcentral is "tRNA-Thr". It matches the Rfam family "tRNA". Rfam says of the family: Transfer RNA (tRNA) molecules are approximately 80 nucleotides in length. Their secondary structure includes four short double-helical elements and three loops (D, anti-codon, and T loops). Further hydrogen bonds mediate the characteristic L-shaped molecular structure. tRNAs have two regions of fundamental functional importance: the anti-codon, which is responsible for specific mRNA codon recognition, and the 3' end, to which the tRNAs corresponding amino acid is attached (by aminoacyl-tRNA synthetases). tRNAs cope with the degeneracy of the genetic code in two manners: having more than one tRNA (with a specific anti-codon) for a particular amino acid; and 'wobble' base-pairing, i.e. permitting non-standard base-pairing at the 3rd anti-codon position. The record is from RNAcentral. Lineage: Eukaryota; Metazoa; Arthropoda; Insecta; Coleoptera; Curculionidae.